AGACACAUAUGUCAUAUUUGGUGAAGCAAAGAUUGAGGACUUGAGCUCACAGUUGCAGUCUCAAGCUGCAGAGCAGUUUAAGGCUCCUAAUCUAAGCAACGUUAUAUCGAAGCCAGAGCCAUCAACUGUUGCUCAGGAUGACGAGGACGUUGAUGAAACUGGCGUAGAACCAAAGGAUAUUGAGCUGGUGAUGACUCAAGCAGGAGUUUCCAGACCCAAAGCCGUCAAAGCUCUCAAGGCCGCAGAGGGUGAUAUUGUCUCUGCUAUCAUGGAGCUUACAAACUAGGAUUACUUUCCAAAUCUUCUGAGCAGUGCUUUCUUUGGAAGUUUUAAAGAUUUUGAGUUGCUGCUCCUUUUUAUCUGCGCGUCCUGUUUAUCUUACCGUCUUUAUCUGUCGUUGUAUACCAGAUUGGAUUGUUAUGUAAGAGAGAAGGUCUAAACAUUUGAUGUGUCCCUUUCUGUCUCAACUAAAUCUUGUUUCUG
This 483-nucleotide unclassified non-coding RNA is filed under the name Hevea brasiliensis (rubber tree). Lineage: Eukaryota; Viridiplantae; Streptophyta; Magnoliopsida; Malpighiales; Euphorbiaceae. The record is from RNAcentral.